Molecule: unclassified non-coding RNA, 611 nt
Filed under: Hevea brasiliensis (rubber tree)
Lineage: Eukaryota; Viridiplantae; Streptophyta; Magnoliopsida; Malpighiales; Euphorbiaceae
Source: RNAcentral
AAAAAAACAGCAUCUUUAGCCAAAGACUAUAUUUACAUAAUGUAACUGAUGAGAAUUCAAGCAAUAAGAACUAUUUUCCUUCCUGAUACAUAAGACUAUAACAGAACAAUUCAUGUUCAGACAAGCUACAUUUUCAGUUGAUGGAAUUUGACACGACCAGGACGACCAAUAGUUCCUCGUUUUCCAUCCAAGAUGAAUGCCACAAAUCUAACAUCAAAGGUUUGAUAUUUCUUUAUGAUCUAAGUCAAAUGAGAGGACACGCCAUGGCCCCUCGAGAUAUUGUCUAUGAAAAGAAUACCAUGGUACUUUUAGCUCUUUCACGAGCCAACUCCGUUCUACUCAAGGAUUUCAUGUUCCAAGCGUCAAUAUAUUACUAUUCCAUAGUCUACCGAUGGUGUUUUGAACCUACAAAGGCUUAUUCAUCCAAUUUAGAGCGCUUCAAAGGAGGUGAAUCAGAUGUGCUGGUUAUAUUUGUCUCAGGAUCUCCAAGAACUUCUCUUUCCCGCUCUUUCUGUUUCUCGUGAUCAACUUCUUUAGCAGUGUCAACCUGUGACAACUGUGCAAAGGCAUCAUCUGCUGUAGAAGAUGAUGAGCCUUUAGCCAAGUCUGCG